AUUGAACGCUGGCGGCAUGCCUUACACAUGCAAGUCGAACGGUAACGGGUCCUUCGGGAUGCCGACGAGUGGCGAACGGGUGAGUAAUAUAUCGGAACGUGCCCAGUAGUGGGGGAUAACUGCUCGAAAGAGCAGCUAAUACCGCAUACGACCUGAGGGUGAAAGGGGGGGAUCGCAAGACCUCUCGCUAUUGGAGCGGCCGAUAUCAGAUUAGCUAGUUGGUGGGGUAAAGGCCUACCAAGGCAACGAUCUGUAGUUGGUCUGAGAGGACGACCAGCCACACUGGGACUGAGGCACGGCCGAGACUCCUACGGGAGGCAGCAGUGGGGAAUUUUGGACAAUGGGCGCAAGCCUGAUCCAGCAAUGCCGCGUGCAGGAAGAAGGCCUUCGGGUUGUAAACUGCUUUUGUCAGGGAAGAAAUCUUCUGGGCUAAUACCCCGGGAGGAUGACGAUACCUGAAGAAUAAGCACCGGCUAACUACGUGCCAGCCGCCGCCGUAA
Molecule: ribosomal RNA, 500 nt
Filed under: uncultured bacterium
Lineage: Bacteria
Description: partial 16S ribosomal RNA
Rfam family: Bacterial small subunit ribosomal RNA
Source: RNAcentral